UACGUAGGGUGCAAGCGUUAUUCGGAAUUACUGGGCGUAAAGCGUACGUAGGCGGCUUUGCAAGACAGGUGUGAAAUCCCCGGGCCUAACCUGGGAACUGCAUUUGUGACUGCAUGGCUAGAGUUUGUCAGAGGGGGGUGGAAUUCCACGUGUAGCAGUGAAAUGCGUAGAUAUGUGGAGGAACACCGAUGGCGAAGGCAGCCCCCUGGGAUGUGACUGACGCUCAUGUACGAAAGCGUGGGGAGCAAACAGG
Molecule: ribosomal RNA, 253 nt
Filed under: uncultured bacterium
Lineage: Bacteria
Description: partial 16S ribosomal RNA
Rfam family: Bacterial small subunit ribosomal RNA
Source: RNAcentral